UACGUAGGGUGCAAGCGUUAAUCGGGAUUACUGGGCGUAAAGCGUGCGCAGGCGGCUUUGCAAGACAGAUGUGAAAUCCCCGGGCUUAACCUGGGAACUGCAUUUGUGACUGCAUGGCUGGAGUGCGGCAGAGGGGGAUGGAAUUCCGCGUGUAGCAGUGAAAUGCGUAGAUAUGCGGAGGAACACCGAUGGCGAAGGCAAUCCCCUGGGCCUGCACUGACGCUCAUGCACGAAAGCGUGGGGAGCAAACAGG
RNAcentral lists this ribosomal RNA (253 nucleotides) under uncultured bacterium. RNAcentral describes it as "partial 16S ribosomal RNA". It matches the Rfam family "Bacterial small subunit ribosomal RNA", at positions 524 to 776 of the family's 1533-position model. The record is from RNAcentral.